RNAcentral lists this non-coding RNA (97 nucleotides) under unclassified sequences. Its description in RNAcentral is "skipping-rope RNA". It matches the Rfam family "skipping-rope RNA". From Rfam's summary of the family: Firmicutes, Fusobacteria, AlphaProteobacteria, Spirochaetes. Downstream gene The record is from Rfam by way of RNAcentral.
GUUAUUUGAGGUGGUAAAAUUCGUGGCGACCACACGCCGAUGGUAUCGACAGGGGAAACCCGAGAGAUGUAGGAGAAAGCCACGCCUACCAAAUAAC